Molecule: ribosomal RNA, 1372 nt
Filed under: uncultured bacterium
Lineage: Bacteria
Description: bacterial SSU rRNA
Rfam family: Bacterial small subunit ribosomal RNA
Source: RNAcentral
GAUGAACGCUGGCGGCGUGCCUAAUACAUGCAAGUCGAGCGAACGGACGAGAAGCUUGCUUCUCUGAUGUUAGCGGCGGACGGGUGAGUAACACGUGGAUAACCUACCUAUAAGACUGGGAUAACUUCGGGAAACCGGAGCUAAUACCGGAUAAUAUUUUGAACCGCAUGGUUCAAAAGUGAAAGACGGUCUUGCUGUCACUUAUAGAUGGAUCCGCGCUGCAUUAGCUAGUUGGUAAGGUAACGGCUUACCAAGGCAACGAUGCAUAGCCGACCUGAGAGGGUGAUCGGCCACACUGGAACUGAGACACGGUCCAGACUCCUACGGGAGGCAGCAGUAGGGAAUCUUCCGCAAUGGGCGAAAGCCUGACGGAGCAACGCCGCGUGAGUGAUGAAGGUCUUCGGAUCGUAAAACUCUGUUAUUAGGGAAGAACAUAUGUGUAAGUAACUGUGCACAUCUUGACGGUACCUAAUCAGAAAGCCACGGCUAACUACGUGCCAGCAGCCGCGGUAAUACGUAGGUGGCAAGCGUUAUCCGGAAUUAUUGGGCGUAAAGCGCGCGUAGGCGGUUUUUUAAGUCUGAUGUGAAAGCCCACGGCUCAACCGUGGAGGGUCAUUGGAAACUGGAAAACUUGAGUGCAGAAGAGGAAAGUGGAAUUCCAUGUGUAGCGGUGAAAUGCGCAGAGAUAUGGAGGAACACCAGUGGCGAAGGCGACUUUCUGGUCUGUAACUGACGCUGAUGUGCGAAAGCGUGGGGAUCAAACAGGAUUAGAUACCCUGGUAGUCCACGCCGUAAACGAUGAGUGCUAAGUGUUAGGGGGUUUCCGCCCCUUAGUGCUGCAGCUAACGCAUUAGGCACUCCGCCUGGGGAGUACGACCGCAAGGUUGAAACUCAAAGGAAUUGACGGGGACCCGCACAAGCGGUGGAGCAUGUGGUUUAAUUCGAAGCAACGCGAAGAACCUUACCAAAUCUUGACAUCCUUUGACAACUCUAGAGAUAGAGCCUUCCCCUUCGGGGGACAAAGUGACAGGUGGUGCAUGGUUGUCGUCAGCUCGUGUCGUGAGAUGUUGGGUUAAGUCCCGCAACGAGCGCAACCCUUAAGCUUAGUUGCCAUCAUUAAGUUGGGCACUCUAAGUUGACUGCCGGUGACAAACCGGAGGAAGGUGGGGAUGACGUCAAAUCAUCAUGCCCCUUAUGAUUUGGGCUACACACGUGCUACAAUGGGCAAUACAAAGGGCAGCGAAGCCGCGAGGUCAAGCAAAUCCCAUAAAGUUGUUCUCAGUUCGGAUUGUAGUCUGCAACUCGACUACAUGAAGCUGGAAUCGCUAGUAAUCGUAGAUCAGCAUGCUACGGUGAAUACGUUCCCGGGUCU